This 550-nucleotide ribosomal RNA is filed under the name uncultured fungus. RNAcentral describes it as "eukaryotic LSU rRNA". The stretch from base 139 to 290 matches the Rfam family "5.8S ribosomal RNA". Lineage: Eukaryota; Fungi. The record is from RNAcentral.
AUUAACACUAAUCCAACUCAACUCAACCAAGCCUUCAGUUGCAGUGGUGCAAGCUCGCGAAAGCUAAGCAGUGCCGCUGCAGCCACAAACUAAACUAAUCAAACAAAGGAGCCUAACUAAGCUCAACCACAAAAACCAAAUUCUCAACGAUGGAUAUCUUGGUUCCCAUAACGAUGAAGAACGCAGCGAAGUGCGAUAAGCAAUGCGAAUUGCAGAACCGUGAGUCAUCAGAUUUUUGAACGCAUCUGGCGCCGGCUGGCUCUCCAGCCGGCAUGCUUGUUUCAGUGUCUUGUUUUCUCCUCACCCAAAUCUUAAUGCGAGAGAUACCCUUCUCUUGUUAAGCAAGAAAGCACUCUGCGCUCUGCGAGCGACUUCGACUAGUUCGAGGGUCGCACUCAAUGCAGCAGUCACAUUGCUCACAAUGUGAACUCAUUGAGAGCAGAGGCAGUGCAGCAUACGCUGCCAGUGCUUAGACACGCCAACUUUCUUUGUAUCUGAAAUCAAGCAGGAUCACCCGCUGAACUUAAGCAUAUCAAUAAGCGGAGGAAAU